ACGCACGCUGGCGGCGUGCUUAACACCUGCAAGUCGCACGGAAAGGCUCCAGCUUGCUGGAGUACUCGAGUGGCGAACGGGUGAGUAACACGUGGGUAAUCUGCCCUGCACUCUGGGAUAAGCCUGGGAAACUGGGUCUAAUACUGGAUAUGACCUUUCUCCUUAUGGGGUUUGGUGGAAAGUUUUUCGGUGUAGGAUGAGCCCGCGGCCUAUCAGCUUGUUGGUGGGGUGAUGGCCUACCAAGGCGACGACGGGUAGCCGGCCUGAGAGGGUGAUCGGCCACAUUGGGACUGAGAUACGGCCCAGACUCCUACGGGAGGCAGCAGUGGGGAAUAUUGCACAAUGGGCGGAAGCCUGAUGCAGCGACGCCGCGUGAGGGAUGACGGCCUUCGGGUUGUAAACCUCUUUCAGCAGGGACGAAGCGUAAGUGACGGUACCUGCAGAAGAAGCACCGGCUAACUACGUG
RNAcentral lists this ribosomal RNA (466 nucleotides) under uncultured bacterium. Its description in RNAcentral is "partial 16S ribosomal RNA". It matches the Rfam family "Bacterial small subunit ribosomal RNA", at positions 29 to 507 of the family's 1533-position model. The record is from RNAcentral.